Molecule: ribosomal RNA, 2927 nt
Filed under: Staphylococcus aureus
Lineage: Bacteria; Bacillati; Bacillota; Bacilli; Caryophanales; Staphylococcaceae
Description: 23S ribosomal RNA
Rfam family: Bacterial large subunit ribosomal RNA
Source: RNAcentral
AGAUUAAGUUAUUAAGGGCGCACGGUGGAUGCCUUGGCACUAGAAGCCGAUGAAGGACGUUACUAACGACGAUAUGCUUUGGGGAGCUGUAAGUAAGCUUUGAUCCAGAGAUUUCCGAAUGGGGAAACCCAGCAUGAGUUAUGUCAUGUUAUCGAUAUGUGAAUACAUAGCAUAUCAGAAGGCACACCCGGAGAACUGAAACAUCUUAGUACCCGGAGGAAGAGAAAGAAAAUUCGAUUCCCUUAGUAGCGGCGAGCGAAACGGGAAGAGCCCAAACCAACAAGCUUGCUUGUUGGGGUUGUAGGACACUCUAUACGGAGUUACAAAGGACGACAUUAGACGAAUCAUCUGGAAAGAUGAAUCAAAGAAGGUAAUAAUCCUGUAGUCGAAAAUGUUGUCUCUCUUGAGUGGAUCCUGAGUACGACGGAGCACGUGAAAUUCCGUCGGAAUCUGGGAGGACCAUCUCCUAAGGCUAAAUACUCUCUAGUGACCGAUAGUGAACCAGUACCGUGAGGGAAAGGUGAAAAGCACCCCGGAAGGGGAGUGAAAUAGAACCUGAAACCGUGUGCUUACAAGUAGUCAGAGCCCGUUAAUGGGUGAUGGCGUGCCUUUUGUAGAAUGAACCGGCGAGUUACGAUUUGAUGCAAGGUUAAGCAGUAAAUGUGGAGCCGUAGCGAAAGCGAGUCUGAAUAGGGCGUUUAGUAUUUGGUCGUAGACCCGAAACCAGGUGAUCUACCCUUGGUCAGGUUGAAGUUCAGGUAACACUGAAUGGAGGACCGAACCGACUUACGUUGAAAAGUGAGCGGAUGAACUGAGGGUAGCGGAGAAAUUCCAAUCGAACCUGGAGAUAGCUGGUUCUCUCCGAAAUAGCUUUAGGGCUAGCCUCAAGUGAUGAUUAUUGGAGGUAGAGCACUGUUUGGACGAGGGGCCCCUCUCGGGUUACCGAAUUCAGACAAACUCCGAAUGCCAAUUAAUUUAACUUGGGAGUCAGAACAUGGGUGAUAAGGUCCGUGUUCGAAAGGGAAACAGCCCAGACCACCAGCUAAGGUCCCAAAAUAUAUGUUAAGUGGAAAAGGAUGUGGCGUUGCCCAGACAACUAGGAUGUUGGCUUAGAAGCAGCCAUCAUUUAAAGAGUGCGUAAUAGCUCACUAGUCGAGUGACACUGCGCCGAAAAUGUACCGGGGCUAAACAUAUUACCGAAGCUGUGGAUUGUCCUUUGGACAAUGGUAGGAGAGCGUUCUAAGGGCGUUGAAGCAUGAUCGUAAGGACAUGUGGAGCGCUUAGAAGUGAGAAUGCCGGUGUGAGUAGCGAAAGACGGGUGAGAAUCCCGUCCACCGAUUGACUAAGGUUUCCAGAGGAAGGCUCGUCCGCUCUGGGUUAGUCGGGUCCUAAGCUGAGGCCGACAGGCGUAGGCGAUGGAUAACAGGUUGAUAUUCCUGUACCACCUAUAAUCGUUUUAAUCGAUGGGGGGACGCAGUAGGAUAGGCGAAGCGUGCGAUUGGAUUGCACGUCUAAGCAGUAAGGCUGAGUAUUAGGCAAAUCCGGUACUCGUUAAGGCUGAGCUGUGAUGGGGAGAAGACAUUGUGUCUUCGAGUCGUUGAUUUCACACUGCCGAGAAAAGCCUCUAGAUAGAAAAUAGGUGCCCGUACCGCAAACCGACACAGGUAGUCAAGAUGAGAAUUCUAAGGUGAGCGAGCGAACUCUCGUUAAGGAACUCGGCAAAAUGACCCCGUAACUUCGGGAGAAGGGGUGCUCUUUAGGGUUAACGCCCAGAAGAGCCGCAGUGAAUAGGCCCAAGCGACUGUUUAUCAAAAACACAGGUCUCUGCUAAACCGUAAGGUGAUGUAUAGGGGCUGAUGCCUGCCCGGUGCUGGAAGGUUAAGAGGAGUGGUUAGCUUCUGCGAAGCUACGAAUCGAAGCCCCAGUAAACGGCGGCCGUAACUAUAACGGUCCUAAGGUAGCGAAAUUCCUUGUCGGGUAAGUUCCGACCCGCACGAAAGGCGUAACGAUUUGGGCACUGUCUCAACGAGAGACUCGGUGAAAUCAUAGUACCUGUGAAGAUGCAGGUUACCCGCGACAGGACGGAAAGACCCCGUGGAGCUUUACUGUAGCCUGAUAUUGAAAUUCGGCACAGCUUGUACAGGAUAGGUAGGAGCCUUUGAAACGUGAGCGCUAGCUUACGUGGAGGCGCUGGUGGGAUACUACCCUAGCUGUGUUGGCUUUCUAACCCGCACCACUUAUCGUGGUGGGAGACAGUGUCAGGCGGGCAGUUUGACUGGGGCGGUCGCCUCCUAAAAGGUAACGGAGGCGCUCAAAGGUUUCCUCAGAAUGGUUGGAAAUCAUUCAUAGAGUGUAAAGGCAUAAGGGAGCUUGACUGCGAGACCUACAAGUCGAGCAGGGUCGAAAGACGGACUUAGUGAUCCGGUGGUUCCGCAUGGAAGGGCCAUCGCUCAACGGAUAAAAGCUACCCCGGGGAUAACAGGCUUAUCUCCCCCAAGAGUUCACAUCGACGGGGAGGUUUGGCACCUCGAUGUCGGCUCAUCGCAUCCUGGGGCUGUAGUCGGUCCCAAGGGUUGGGCUGUUCGCCCAUUAAAGCGGUACGCGAGCUGGGUUCAGAACGUCGUGAGACAGUUCGGUCCCUAUCCGUCGUGGGCGUAGGAAAUUUGAGAGGAGCUGUCCUUAGUACGAGAGGACCGGGAUGGACAUACCUCUGGUGUACCAGUUGUCGUGCCAACGGCAUAGCUGGGUAGCUAUGUGUGGACGGGAUAAGUGCUGAAAGCAUCUAAGCAUGAAGCCCCCCUCAAGAUGAGAUUUCCCAACUUCGGUUAUAAGAUCCCUCAAAGAUGAUGAGGUUAAUAGGUUCGAGGUGGAAGCAUGGUGACAUGUGGAGCUGACGAAUACUAAUCGAUCGAAGACUUAAUCAAAUU